Molecule: unclassified non-coding RNA, 333 nt
Filed under: soil metagenome
Description: partial contains 5.8S ribosomal RNA, internal transcribed spacer 2, and large subunit ribosomal RNA
Rfam family: 5.8S ribosomal RNA (bases 1-120)
Source: RNAcentral
GAUGAAGAACGCAGCGAAAUGCGAUAAGUAGUGUGAAUUGCAGAAUUCAGUGAAUCAUCGAAUCUUUGAACGCACAUUGCGCCCCUUGGUAUUCCAUGGGGCAUGCCUGUUCGAGCGUCAUUUGUACCUUCAAGCUUUGCUUGGUGUUGGGUGUUUGUCCAUUCUCUUGCAGAGGGACUCGCCUUAAAGUAAUUGGCAGCCAGUGUUUUGGUUUUGAAGCGCAGCACAAGUCGCGAUUCAACGCUAUACGCCAGCUUCCACAAGCCUUUUUCACUUUUGACCUCGGAUCAGGUAGGGAUACCCGCUGAACUUAAGCAUAUCAAAAGCGGAGGA